This 396-nucleotide ribosomal RNA is filed under the name uncultured bacterium. Its description in RNAcentral is "bacterial SSU rRNA". It matches the Rfam family "Bacterial small subunit ribosomal RNA", at positions 28 to 416 of the family's 1533-position model. The record is from RNAcentral.
GACGAACGCUGGCGGCGCGCUUAACACAUGCAAGUCGAGCGAGAACCGGGGCUUCGGCCCCAGGGACAGCGGCGAACGGGUGAGUAACACGUGGGUAACCUGCCCUCGGCACCGGGAUAGCCCGGGGAAACUCGGAUUAAUACCGGAUGGCCCCUCCGACCUUCUGGUCGGCUGGGAAAGGUAGCUUCGGCUUCCGGCCGAUGAUGGGCCCGCGGCGGAUUAGCUUGUUGGUGGGGUAACGGCCCACCAAGGCUCCCGAUCCGUAGCUGGUCUGAGAGGACGAUCAGCCACACUGGGACUGAGACACGGCCCAGACUCCUACGGGAGGCAGCAGUGGGGAAUCUUGCGCAAUGGGCGAAAGCCUGACGCAGCGACGCCGCGUGAGGGAAGAAGGCC